Molecule: ribosomal RNA, 458 nt
Filed under: uncultured bacterium
Lineage: Bacteria
Description: partial 16S ribosomal RNA
Rfam family: Bacterial small subunit ribosomal RNA
Source: RNAcentral
CACGGGAGGCAGCAGUGAGGAAUAUUGGUCAAUGGGCGCGAGCCUGAACCAGCCAAGUCGCGUGAGGGAUGACGGUCCUACGGAUUGUAAACCUCUUUUGCCGGGGAGCAAGCGUGCGUUCGUGAACGCGCGUCGAGAGUACCCGGAGAAAAAGCAUCGGCUAACUCCGUGCCAGCAGCCGCGGUAAUACGGAGGAUGCGAGCGUUAUCCGGAUUUAUUGGGUUUAAAGGGUGCGCAGGCGGGCUGUUAAGCCGGCGGUAAAAAUUCAGGGCUCAACCCUGUCGAGCCGUCGGAACUGGCAGCCUUGAGUGGGCGAGAAGUAUGCGGAAUGCGUGGUGUAGCGGUGAAAUGCAUAGAUAUCACGCAGAACGCCGAUUGCGAAGGCAGCAUACCGGCGCCCGACUGACGCUGAGGCACGAAAGCGUGGGGAUCGAACAGGAUUAGAUACCCCUGUAGUC